UACGGAGGGUGCAAGCGUUGUCCGGAAUUACUGGGCGUAAAGCGCACGUAGGCGGCUUUCUAAGUCGGGGGUGAAAUCCUGGAGCUCAACUCCAGAACUGCCUUCGAUACUGGAGAGCUCGAGUCCGGGAGAGGUGAGUGGAACUGCGAGUGUAGAGGUGAAAUUCGUAGAUAUUCGCAAGAACACCAGUGGCGAAGGCGGCUCACUGGCCCGGUACUGACGCUGAGGUGCGAAAGCGUGGGGAGCAAACAGG
Molecule: ribosomal RNA, 253 nt
Filed under: uncultured bacterium
Lineage: Bacteria
Description: partial 16S ribosomal RNA
Rfam family: Bacterial small subunit ribosomal RNA
Source: RNAcentral